CAUAGGUUGAGGAGGCGGUGACCGUGGUGGUGGAGGAGGAGGAUGAGGUAGCCAACACUGUUUUUAUUUAUAUAUAUAUAUAUAUAUAUAUAUUUUAAUUGGAGAAGCCCCCCAAAUUUUGGGACAUAUAAAAGACAACUCUGUUCCGCGUAGCUGUUGACAUUAUAGUUGCGAAGGCACUUUGUUGACUCUAGAGUACCUCAGGCCAAUUGCACAUCCCCGUGGCGGCGACUUUGCAUGCGGAUGUCAUCCAUAUCAACUUUCGAUGCCAGUUUCUGCUCUUACCAUGGUGACCACGGAUAACAGGGAAUCAGGGUUCCAUUCUGUACAGGGACCCUGAGAAACGACUACCACAUGCAAGGAAGGCAG
This 369-nucleotide ribosomal RNA is filed under the name Pelobates cultripes (western spadefoot toad). It matches the Rfam family "Eukaryotic small subunit ribosomal RNA", at positions 91 to 428 of the family's 1831-position model. Lineage: Eukaryota; Metazoa; Chordata; Amphibia; Anura; Pelobatidae. The record is from RNAcentral.